Molecule: unclassified non-coding RNA, 97 nt
Organism: Dipodomys ordii (Ord's kangaroo rat)
Lineage: Eukaryota; Metazoa; Chordata; Mammalia; Rodentia; Heteromyidae
Source: Ensembl
UUCCCACAGGCAGCUGUCAACAUCUGAACCUGCAAGUGAGGCCAGCCAUGUAGUUGGGGGUGGGAGCUUGGCCCACAAUGACUCAGCUCCCUCGGGA